AAACCCCAAAAUUUUAUUCCCACCUUUGGGUUUCCGCGCCGAAGACCCAGCGCCAGAUUCGGCGACAAAGAAAACUGACAGCAGUCGCCGGGCAGUUGGCAAUCCUGAUAUUUGACGGCGGUCGCCCGUUAGUCAUGGGAGUGGAUUGUUGUCACGCAAAUAGAGCUUUUCGCUGAAAAUGCAUGUGUAUUGAGGUCUUGUUGACAGAUUUUCUGCUGUGUUAGUGUGAAAUUCAGUGAUUUCCUGUAUCGCGUAAGCCUUCGCUGGAAGGAAAUGUCAUGUUGCUCAGCGAAGCAAGGAAAAUUUUCAGUGAAAAAAGCAAUAAUUUCUACGAACAAAAUCACUAUAACCUAGUAGCUUACUAUUCUCAAUUUAGUUGAAAAUCGGAGCUUUCGACUAGCAAAGUAAAUUUUUUCUUCAAAUCCACGCGUCAGAUCUAGCUUCGGAAGUGGUCCGACGCACGGAUUUGGAGAAAAAUACAAUUUCGUUAGUCGAAAAUUUCGGGUUUCAACUGACGGAGAAUACAAUGUUCACGAUCAUUGUAGGCAAAUACAGCCAGUCAUGAAAGUUGGUUGUGAAUGAUAAAUUUGAUUAGCAUCAUGAUCCGGAGUUACACCCAUAUACAUGAUAUACAUAACGUAGUGAAAACAUUGCCAUUUACUUAAAUUGCAAAACAAGGCUUGGCCUUUUGUACUUUCCAAUUUUGGGUGACAAAAUACGAAGCGAAUGAUGUUGCUGUUAUGAUAUUGGGCGCACAUAUAAGGGUGCUAUUACACUCUUUGACCAAUGCCAAAAAUUUGACCACUUUUGAUAGUUAAAUUUUGACCAAGGCACAGAGAACAGACGUCUAUCUUCGCUUUCUGCCUUGUGUAAAACUUUGUAACGGUCAUAUCGGAGUAUGUGUAGCGUCCCAUCACUUACAUUGUUGUGUUGUCAUAUUUGAUUCCAGUGCUCGCCGUUUUUGGCCGUUUGGCGCUCGUGUCGCUUUGUGGGCUAGUGUAUUUUAACGACGAACACUACCAUCGUGGGGUCAAUUCGACUUUAUAUGUGGGGCAGUCUCCGUUGGUGGCGUUGAGGUACACUUAAAUCCUUUACAUACGAUUUUGACGUAUUUUUGUUCGAGCGUCUGUUCUCUGUGACCAAGGUGUACCUGGCAAACAAAAAUAUUUGUCACUCUCGAAAAACGAAUUGUCCAUUUUAGGAGCAUUUUUUGUGCAUGAAGUUUUGACAGGAGGUGGCGUCCUAACCCGUGAAAAUCAAUAUCAUCAACAACAUUGUUAUCGUUUCGUAAAAUGGCUCAUAGGGAAAAACAGAGCCAAAUAACCUGCCAAAAUUUAUCUGUCAAAAGUGGUCAAAUAUUUGGCGUCUUGGCAAAGAGUGUAAUAUUGCGGUAAAAUAGAAAAAAAAAACCAACGGGGUUGCGGUGGUUCCGACCGCCGCAGUCCUAUCGCAAAUGUCAAAAUGCUCGAUGCACGCUAAGAAGCAUUCACUCAGGUGGUUGCUAUAAAAUUCAAUUUUUUUUUAGUUUUCGGUUUAAUAAU
Molecule: long non-coding RNA, 1541 nt
Organism: Aedes albopictus (Asian tiger mosquito)
Lineage: Eukaryota; Metazoa; Arthropoda; Insecta; Diptera; Culicidae
Exons: 2
Source: RefSeq, a predicted model, not a curated record